This 524-nucleotide ribosomal RNA is filed under the name uncultured bacterium. RNAcentral describes it as "partial 16S ribosomal RNA". It matches the Rfam family "Bacterial small subunit ribosomal RNA", at positions 28 to 523 of the family's 1533-position model. The record is from RNAcentral.
GACGAACGCUGGCGGCGUGCCUAAUACAUGCAAGUCGAGCGCAGGAAAUCAUCCGAACCCUUCGGGGGGACGUUGAUGGAAUGAGCGGCGGACGGGUGAGUAACACGUAAAGAACCUGCCCUCAGGUCUGGGAUAACCACGAGAAAUCGGGGCUAAUGCCGGAUGGGUCAUCGGACCGCAUGGUCCGAGGAUGAAAGGCGCUUCGGCGUCGCCUGGGGAUGGCUUUGCGGUGAAUUAGCUAGUUGGUGGGGUAAUGGCCCACCAAGGCGACGAUGCAUAGCCGACCUGAGAGGGUGAUCGGCCACACUGGGACUGAGACACGGCCCAGACUCCUACGGGAGGCAGCAGUAGGGAAUCUUCCACAAUGGACGAAAGUCUAAUGGGGCGACGCCGCGUGAACGAUGAAGGCCUUCGGGUCGUAAAGUUCUGUUGUAAGGGAAGAACAAGUGCCGCAGGCAAUGGCGGCACCUUGACGGUACCUUGCGAGAAAGCCACGGCUAACUACGUGCCAGCAGCCGCCGUAA